UACAGAGGUCUCAAGCGUUGUUCGGAUUCAUUGGGCGUAAAGGGUGCGUAGGUGGCGCCAUAAGUCAGGUGUGAAAUCUCGGGGCUCAACUCCGAAACUGCACUUGAUACUGUGGUGCUGAGUACUGGAGAGGAGAUUGGAAUUUACGGUGUAGCAGUGAAAUGCGUAGAUAUCGUAAGGAAGACCAGUGGCGAAGGCGAAUCUCUGGACAGUUACUGACACUGAGGCACGAAGGCCAGGGGAGCAAACGGG
RNAcentral lists this ribosomal RNA (252 nucleotides) under uncultured bacterium. RNAcentral's name for it is "partial 16S ribosomal RNA". It matches the Rfam family "Bacterial small subunit ribosomal RNA", at positions 524 to 776 of the family's 1533-position model. The record is from RNAcentral.